UGGGGAAUCUUAGACAAUGGGGGCAACCCUGAUCUAGCCAUGCCGCGUGAGUGACGAAGGUCUUAGGAUCGUAAAGCUCUUUCGCCGGGGAUGAUAAUGACAGUACCCGGUAAAGAAACCCCGGCUAACUCCGUGCCAGCAGCCGCGGUAAUACGGAGGGGGUUAGCGUUGUUCGGAAUUACUGGGCGUAAAGGGCGCGUAGGCGGCCUGUUAAGUUGGAUGUGAAAGCCCGGGGCUCAACCUCGGAACGGCAUCCGAUACUGGCGGGCUCGAGACCGGGAGAGGAGGGUGGAAUACCCAGUGUAGAGGUGAAAUUCGUAGAUAUUGGGUGGAACACCGGUGGCGAAAGCGGCUCUCUGGCCCGGUUCUGACGCUGAGGCGCGAAAGCGUGGGGAGCAAACAGGAUUAGAUACCCGUGUAGUCC
This 424-nucleotide ribosomal RNA is filed under the name uncultured prokaryote. Its description in RNAcentral is "bacterial SSU rRNA". It matches the Rfam family "Bacterial small subunit ribosomal RNA", at positions 355 to 796 of the family's 1533-position model. The record is from RNAcentral.